Molecule: transfer RNA, 73 nt
Filed under: Spiribacter sp.
Lineage: Bacteria; Pseudomonadati; Pseudomonadota; Gammaproteobacteria; Chromatiales; Ectothiorhodospiraceae
Description: tRNA-Asp
Rfam family: tRNA
About the family: Transfer RNA (tRNA) molecules are approximately 80 nucleotides in length. Their secondary structure includes four short double-helical elements and three loops (D, anti-codon, and T loops). Further hydrogen bonds mediate the characteristic L-shaped molecular structure. tRNAs have two regions of fundamental functional importance: the anti-codon, which is responsible for specific mRNA codon recognition, and the 3' end, to which the tRNAs corresponding amino acid is attached (by aminoacyl-tRNA synthetases). tRNAs cope with the degeneracy of the genetic code in two manners: having more than one tRNA (with a specific anti-codon) for a particular amino acid; and 'wobble' base-pairing, i.e. permitting non-standard base-pairing at the 3rd anti-codon position.
Source: RNAcentral
GGUCCUGUAGCUCAAUCGGGAGAGCGUCGCCUUGUCACGGCGAAGGUAGCGAGAUCGAAACUCGUCAGGUCCG